This 253-nucleotide ribosomal RNA is filed under the name uncultured bacterium. Its description in RNAcentral is "partial 16S ribosomal RNA". It matches the Rfam family "Bacterial small subunit ribosomal RNA", at positions 524 to 776 of the family's 1533-position model. The record is from RNAcentral.
UACGAAGGGUGCUAGCGUUGUUCGGAAUUACUGGGCGUAAAGCGCGCGUAGGCGGCUUUUCAAGUCAGGGGUGAAAUCCCACGGCUCAACCGUGGAAUUGCCUUUGAAACUGUGAAGCUAGAGUGUCGGAGGGGAUAGCGGAAUUGCUAAUGUAGAGGUGAAAUUCGUAGAUAUUAGCAGGAACACCGGUGGCGAAGGCGGCUAUCUGGACGACAACUGACGCUGAGGCGCGAAAGCGUGGGGAUCAAACAGG